CCUACGGGAGGCAGCAGUGGGGAAUAUUGCACAAUGGGGGAAACCCUGAUGCAGCGACGCCGCGUGAGUGAAGAAGUAAUUCUUUAUGUAAAGCUCUAUCAGCAGGGAAGAAAAUGACGGUACCUGAGUAAGAAGCCCCGGCUAACUACGUGCCAGCAGCCGCGGUAAGACGUAGGGGACAAGCGUUAUCCGGAUUUACCGGGUGUAAAGGGAGCGUAGACGGCAGUGCAAGUCUGGAGUGAAAGGCGGGGGCUCAACCCCCGGACUGCUCUUGAAACUGUACGGCUGGAGUGCAGGAGAGGUAAGUGGAAUUCCUGGUGUAGCGGUGAAAUGCGUAGAUAUUAGGAGGAACACCGGUGGCGAAGGCGGCUUACUAGACUGUAACUGACGUUGAGGCUCGAAAGCGUGGGGAGCAAACAGGAUUAGAUACCCGAGUAGUC
RNAcentral lists this ribosomal RNA (440 nucleotides) under uncultured bacterium. RNAcentral describes it as "partial 16S ribosomal RNA". It matches the Rfam family "Bacterial small subunit ribosomal RNA", at positions 338 to 795 of the family's 1533-position model. The record is from RNAcentral.